This 1322-nucleotide long non-coding RNA is filed under the name Gallus gallus (chicken). RNAcentral describes it as "long non-coding RNA NONGGAT006567". The record is from RNAcentral. Lineage: Eukaryota; Metazoa; Chordata; Aves; Galliformes; Phasianidae.
GUGACAUGCAGUCCCAAGCCAGGCUGCAGCCAGUUGGCACAGGGCAGGGCGGCACCACUGGCGAUGCUAUUUACAGUGAAUGGGAGAGAACCUCACUCCACACCCAGCUGCAGCCACAGUCCUGGGAUGAAGCAGCAGAAACAUCAAAAAAGGGAAAAGGCCUUCUCUUGGGAAAGGUGCAGCCACCGAGGGACCCUCACUGGGAUGAACCCCACAACCUGACCUGAGCUUCAGCAUUAACCCGGGACCAUCACAAAACCCACGGCAGAGACGCUGGUCAUGAGGAUGAUGGGGACAGUGGCAAGGGCCGGGAUGUUCUCAGAGAUGCCUCUCUCCUCCCCAGCAACAAGGGAAGCCUGCAGGAUGUCACUGGAGCAGAAGGUUGGGCAUGAAUCACGGAUCUGUGCUCUGGAAGGGUUCUGGUGUCUGCUGGGGCCGAGUGGGGCAAUUUUCCCAGCAACAGAAGACUGAGGGUGGGGGUGGAGACAGCCCUGCACGGCCCCGUGUCCCCCGUCCCUCCUGCCACCAGCACAUCGCAGUACCCACCCACCUUCACCCCAAGUCCCUUUGGGGUUCAGCAAACAGGAAACCACCCUGAAACUCAAUCACACCCCGCAGGCACCCCAUCACAACCGUGUUGCCAGGCAUGUCCAAAACCAACAGGCUGGGCAAGGGGGGAGAGUGCUGAGAGCCUGGAAGAACAACGUGGCUUUCCAUCACUGAUUCUACUGGCCUGUGAAUGAGAAGCCAUGAUGGAAAGGAAGAGCCCACCCAGCCUUGGGACUGAGGGCCUACGCGGGUUUGGAUUUUGGGGUGCAGGAGGUCGGUGUCUGACUGCCACUAUGCACAGAGGCUCAGCAAGAACCAGACCCUGCAAUGCAAAUGGCAACACAAACACUUCACGUCACGUCCGCAUCUUCCAAGCUCCACAUAUUACAGUCUCACCAAAAUAAGAACAUUUACCCCUAAGACUUCUGAAAAUAAGCUGAUGGGAAGUGUGUAUCUCUAUUUAUAUAAAGUGCAAUCCACAGCUGCCCCCACCCUGGCUGCCACCCGUGCUCCAGUCCUCUAUUUAAAGAGACUGAACCUUCACACGCUCUGUUUCCAGCGCCUGAUGUUAAAACAAAAAGGAGAAACAAUACACAAAGAGACAACCAGACGCCUCUCUCCUCAUUUCCCUGCGCUCUGUGGUGCUGCUGAAGAGCAGCCGUGUCCUUCCUCCUCCCACGGGACCACAGCCAAGCAGAGCAGUGCGUCGAGCUGACGGCAUCUGCUGGGUAGGGAAGGAACCAGCUCCAAAUCCGGCUCCAUGACCACGAUCC